Molecule: long non-coding RNA, 1246 nt
Organism: Chiroxiphia lanceolata (lance-tailed manakin)
Lineage: Eukaryota; Metazoa; Chordata; Aves; Passeriformes; Pipridae
Exons: 5
Source: RefSeq, a predicted model, not a curated record
GUAUAGGCAGAACUGAAAUUCCAGGACCUCAGCAGAAAUUCAGUCUUCCAGACAAUGAGGGCAUUCAAAAAUCCAGAGGCUCUUCCUUUGGAAAGAGUUUGUAAGACUGAGAUGUCUGCCAGAGAAAUUCCAGGAUCCUCUAAAGACUUUCAGGUCCAAGUUCAGUGAAGGUUCCUGAUGUUGCUGACCUACAAGCAGAAGUCCACAAUUGCACCUUGAAGAAGAAUCUCUGUCCUUAAACUGAACGUCUAUGUUCCACACCCAGUGCCUAAGGAGCACCUUUCAGAACAAGAGCAUGAAGAGCCCGUAGUUAUCUGUAAGAUGACAACAAAAUUCAGGUUGCUGAUUGGAUGCUGUGCUAUACUUAAAGAACACAGGUGUCCACAUAUCUCCAUAGUGCUGUGAAGAUAUACUCCAUAUCUCCCAUAUCUGAUCAUAAUUCAAAACCAAAAUUGCUAACUAAAUCAAGAAACUGCUAAAAUACUUAUUUCAUAAAUCAGUGAGAAAACAUGGUGUCCUGGUUUCAGUUAGGGUGGAGUUAAUUUCUUCUCAGCAGCUUUUAUGUGCUGCAGUCAAGAUGAGAAGAAAGAUGCAACAGCCAAAGGGGUUCAAACAGAUAGCUCUAAGCAGCUAUCGCAAUUUAUUGGGGGUGGUUGGCUCUAUUUAUAGGGUCUGGUAGGAAGGUUCUGGAAAGCAGGGAGGAGUAUAGGACUGACGGGGUGACAAUCAAUCAGGAAAGGAAGGAGAGAACAUAGGAUCAGCAGGGACCAGUGAGGGAAACAUCUGCAAUGCUGUAAACCUUAACCAGUGAAAAAAUAGGGGAUAAAUGUGAGGGGAAAAAAUACAAUAAAAUCCGGUAAAAACUGGGGUACAACAAAUAUGAAACUUACAUUAACAAUUCUGAUCUGUCUUUGUCAAUUCAACAGUCUCUACCUUAAUAAAAUAAUGUUGUGUGUCUUCAAAGCGUAUCUUCAUAUGCAGUUGCCUCAGCCAUAAUUUGCAGCCGCUUUUUCAAUUCAAUAAACUUCUCUCUCUUCAUCCAUGCCUUCCAAAACUGCAAUACUGUGUUUUGGAUUCAAAAUGAGAACAGUAUUGAUAACCCACUGAUGUUUUAGUUUAUUGCUAAAAUGUGUUUAUUCUAAGUUGAGGACUUUUUUUCUUGUUUAAUGCUCUGAAAGAAACUGUGAGGGAGCAUAGCUGGAACACAUGACCAGAACCGACCAAAGGGAUAUUCCACACCAUAGAA